AGGAACACGAUAGAUUUGAUCUUUAGGGACUUGAACAACGUAUGUGCCAGACUCAAAAAUGGGUGGAGAUUGAGAAAUAACAGGGUCAUGAAGGAUAAGGGUAGGUUGUGGUGGUGGUGGCGGCGGUGAUGUAGCCCGCUCCGCCAUGGAACAAUGGGGAGCGGUGAAAAGAAGAGGAAGAAGGAGAAGGAGAGAAAUUGAAGGAUCGCGUGUAAGUGGAAGUGGCAUGUGUGAAUGGAAGGUAGAGAGAGUCUGAGUUUGAUUGGUCAAUUUUAAUUUGUUUUGAUUUGAUUUCAGAGGGACCAUAAGUUAACUAUUAUUAGAGAUUGUUUUACUGGGUCAAUAUUUUAAUAGAAAGGGAAGCAUAAUAAUGAAUGGAACAUAAAUGCUUGAUAAUUAAUUUGGAAGUAAAAUACCAAAAUUAAGGUGUAGUUUUUAAACAUGGUUCUAAUAUUAUAUAUGAUCACAGCUCAUUAAAGGAAAACUAGUAACAUAAUUUAUGUGAUUACUUGCAGUGAAUGGCUGGAGCUAAGGCCGAAAUUGCCCACAACACAAUGCAUAUCCAUUGGCCCAUAUCCAAUGUGUUAUUGUAAAAAAUUGUGUUUAUAUUAUGAUCUUUGAUGAAUAUUUACUCAAAUGUGAAUUCUGAGAUUAUUGAGUACAAGAAUGUUCUGUUAUAUACAAGUAUGUUUGCAACGGUCCUAUUGCUCCUUGUUGUUGUUUGUUGCACUCCAACGUUUAAAUCUAGCUUAGGGAUAGGUUGAAGCAGCCUUUUUCCCUUUAGGGGAGAGGUGUUGCUCCCUUUCCCUAAUAGGCCUGUGAUGAUCUAGAGUUCUGAGGCCAUAUCCAACAGUCAAAGACUGUUGGUCCUUACUGCCAGUCUUUGACUGUUGAACAUUGUUGCUGCCUGGUUUUGGUGCUUCUUCAACAGAUAUUGAGACUUCUUCAACACUCCCCCUCAAGGUGGGUUCGAAUAAGUUGAUAGAACCCAUCUUGCUGAGAAGCUUUCGAUGACUUGCUUUGUCUAGGGCUUUGGUGAAGAUAUCUGCCAGUUGUUCAUGGCUUCGGAUGAACGGAGUUGUGAUUUCUCCUGAUUGGACUUUCUCUCUUAUGAAGUGACAAUCAAUUUCAAUAUGUUUAGUCCUUUCAUGAAAGACUGGGUUCGAUGCGAUGUGUCUGGCUGCUUGGUUAUCACAGUACAUCUCCAUCGGGCCUUUAUGCUCUACUUCCAUAUCAACCAGAACUUGCUUUAUCCAUAUGAGUUCACUAGCUGUCGAUGCCAUGGCACGAUACUCGGCUUCGGCACUGGACCUUGCGGUUACUGAUUGUUUUUUGCUCUUCCAUGUCACUAGGUUUCCUCCUACAAAUGUGCAGAAUCCUGAAGUCGAUUUUCUGUCACAACUACCUGCCCAAUCUGCAUCAGAGAAACCAGUAAUAGUGAUAGCAUUAUUAUUAUUUCUCAUCCAGAUACCAUGUCCUGGAGUACCUUUGAGGUAUCUUAGGAUCCUAUCAACUGCAUCUAAAUGAGGAGUACGUGGAGCAUGCAUAAACUGGCUAAUCAUACUCACAGCAUAACUAAUGUCAGGUCUGGUGACGGUUAAGUAAAUCAAUUUCCCCACCAGGCGCUGGUAAUGACCUAUGUUAUCUAGAGGGUCACCAUCCUCUAAGUUAAGUCUAGUCUUGGUCUCCAUAGGGGUAUCUAUAGGCUUAGCUCCUAUUUUCCCUGUUUCAUUUAAAAGAUCUAGAACAUACUUUCUCUGAGACAGAAAUAGACCUUUAUGAGAUUUUGCCAUUUCUAUUCCGAGAAAGUAGGUUAAUUGACCAAGAUCCUUAAUGUCAAAUUCCCUUUUUAAUUUUUGCUUUACUUUCUCAAUUUCCUCAUUAUUGUUCCCUGUUACAAUAAUGUCAUCCACAUAAAUCAAGAUAAUGAUCGUGUAUGUGAGAGUGUGUUUAACGAACAUGGAUGAAUCAGAGGUACAUUUGCUGAAAUCAAUUUUUAAUAGAAAAUGACUUAGCUUGGCAUACCAUGCUCUAGGGGAUUGUUUCAACCCGUAGAUUGCCUUUUGUAACUUACAUACCAGGGAGGAGUCAGAGGCAAAAUUAUGACCUGGAGGUAGAGACAUGUACACCUCUUCUUCCAGCGAUCCUUGCAGAAAUGCGUUCUUAACGUCCAUCUGAAAUAAUCCCCAACCUGAGUUAGUAGCAACAGAUAGUAAAAUACGAACAGUGCUCAUUUUUGCUACCGGAGCAAAGGUUUCCUGGUAAUCCACACCAUAGGUCUGAGUGAAGCCUUUCGCUACUAGCCUAGCUUUAUACCUCUCAAUUGAACCAUCAUGCUUGUAUUUGAUUUUAUACACCCAUUUACAGCCCACCUGUUUUUUGUUUGGUGGUAGGGGGACAAGCUUCCAAGUUUCAUUUUUCUCCAAGGCCUGGAGUUCUUCUUUCAUGGCUUUACACCAAUUAGGGUCGGUGUUAGCCUCAUAGAAAGAACUUGGCUCAGUGUGAGAAGAAAGAGCGUUGAGAUAUGUCUUAUAAGAUUUCGAGACUGAAUUAUAAUUAAUAAAGCGAUGGAUAGGAUACAAUACCGAGUGGGACACAUAGUCCCUUAGUUUAACGGAAGGUCUAGAUGGUCGAGAUGAUCUCCGCAGGGCAAUUGCUUCUUCUACUUGUGAUUCAUUUUCUCCCCCUGAAGCAGUUGGCGCGGGAACAGGACGCUCGUCCACAUCGGCUGAGGGAGAGAGAUCUGAUCUGUCAAGUAAGAAAGAGUUAUCGGGAAAUAAGGGGGAUGGGGGGGACGUAGUAGUGGAGAAGUAGGCUGUACUUUCAUCGAAAGACACAUCUCUAGAAAUAUAGGACUUGUGUGUGGAGGGGUCAUAACACUUGUACCCCUUUUUUCCAGAUGAGUACCCUAGGAAAACAGUUUUAACGGAACUGGAGUCAAGUUUAUGGGAUCGUCUAAUAUGAACAAAAGUAAUGCAACCAAAAACUCGAAGGUGGCCCAAAUCUAUUUUUCGACCCUUAAGGAUUUCCAAAGGACUGUGGUUUUUAAGAGUGGGAGUAGGUAAUCUGUUAAUAAGGUAGACAGCGGUGAGGAGGGCAUCAGACCAAAAAAUAUGAGGAACAUUGUGUUGAAAAAGAAGUGAUCUAGUGACUUCAAGAAGAUGGCGGUUUUUUCGUUCAGAAACGCCAUUCUGUUCAGGAGUAUAAAUACAGGUGGUUUGGUGUAAAAUGCCUUGUGCAGAGAAGAAGUCAGAAAAGUUUUUAUUAAUAUAUUCAGUGCCAUUAUCGGAUCGAAAAAUUUUAAUUUUGGCAUCAUAUUGAGUUUGAACGAAAUGAAAGAAAUUCUGAAAACAGGAAAAAAACUUCAUUUUUUCCUUUUAGUAAGUAUACCCAAGUGAGACGGGAGAAAUCAUCAAUAAAGGUGACAAAAUAAUGAAAAUGGUUGUAAGAAGUACAGGGGGCAGGUCCCCAAACAUCAGAAUAAAUUAAAUCAAACAUUUUUAUGGAAGUAGUGGAGGACACAGGAAACGGUAACCUGGUAUGUUUAGAAAAUUUGCAAAUAUCACAACAAACAGAAUUUAAAUGACAAGAAAAAAGUUUGUUUAGGAUGUGAUCGGAGGGGUGCCCAAGUCGCCGAUGCAUCAACAUCCCUUUAUUGACCGAACUUGUUGACGCAAGACAACGGGUAGUGGAGUCUCUAAGGUAGUAAAGGCCAUUUUUAAAAUAUCCCUCACCAAUCAUCUUCCCGGUGAUGCGAUCCUGAAACAGUACUGAAGUUGGUGAGAAAAUAGCAUUACAAUUUAAAUGACUAGUAAUUUUGCCAACAGAUAAUAAGUUUGAUUGAAAAUUAGGUAAAAAUAAUAUAUCAUGAAUAUUUUGGCGGAAGAUGGUGGAGGUGCCACAGCCAGAGAUUUUGGCUUGGGCACCAUUUGCGGUGGUCACAUGUUGAGAUUCAAGGGGAACAAAAUUG
Molecule: long non-coding RNA, 3970 nt
Filed under: Ricinus communis (castor bean)
Lineage: Eukaryota; Viridiplantae; Streptophyta; Magnoliopsida; Malpighiales; Euphorbiaceae
Description: long non-coding RNA (RCOM_LNC000376)
Source: RNAcentral